Molecule: ribosomal RNA, 433 nt
Filed under: uncultured bacterium
Lineage: Bacteria
Description: partial 16S ribosomal RNA
Rfam family: Bacterial small subunit ribosomal RNA
Source: RNAcentral
AACGAACGCUGGCGGCAGGCCUAACACAUGCAAGUCGAGCGAGGACUUCGGUCCUAGCGGCGGACGGGUGAGUAACGCGUGGGAACGUGCCCUUUGCUUCGGAAUAGCCCUGGGAAACUGGGAGUAAUACCGGAUGAGCCCUUUGGGGGAAAGAUUUAUCGGCGAAGGAUCGGCCCGCGUUGGAUUAGGUAGUUGGUGGGGUAAUGGCCUACCAAGCCGACGAUCCAUAGCUGGUUUGAGAGGAUGAUCAGCCACACUGGGACUGAGACACGGCCCAGACUCCUACGGGAGGCAGCAGUGGGGAAUCUUAGACAAUGGGGGAAACCCUGAUCGAGCCAUGACGCGUGAGCGAUGAAGGCCUUAGGGUUGUAAAGCUCUUUCAGCUGGGAAGAUAAUGACGGUACCAGCAGAAGAAGCCCCGGCUAACUCCGUG